Molecule: non-coding RNA, 80 nt
Organism: Podarcis lilfordi (Lilford's wall lizard)
Lineage: Eukaryota; Metazoa; Chordata; Lepidosauria; Squamata; Lacertidae
Source: the annotation of a GenBank genome assembly
GACUGAUAGCUCAGUUGGUAGAGCAUGAGACUCUUAAUCUCACGGUUUUGUGGGUUCAAGCCCCACAAAGGUUUGGGCCA